This 292-nucleotide ribosomal RNA is filed under the name uncultured bacterium. RNAcentral's name for it is "partial 16S ribosomal RNA". It matches the Rfam family "Bacterial small subunit ribosomal RNA", at positions 505 to 796 of the family's 1533-position model. The record is from RNAcentral.
GUGCCAGCAGCCGCGGUAAUACGUAGGGGGCAAGCGUUGUCCGGAUUUAUUGGGCGUAAAGCGCGUGUAGGCGGCCAGGUAGGUCCGCUGUGAAAACCCGAGGCUCAACCUCGGGACGUCGGCGGAAACCAUCUGGCUAGAGUCCGGAAGAGGAGAGUGGAAUUCCCGGUGUAGCGGUGAAAUGCGCAGAUAUCGGGAAGAACACCCGUGGCGAAGGCGGCUCUCUGGGACGGUACUGACGCUGAGACGCGAAAGCGUGGGGAGCGAACAGGAUUAGAUACCCUGGUAGUCC